RNAcentral lists this unclassified non-coding RNA (520 nucleotides) under uncultured Entrophospora. RNAcentral's name for it is "bacterial SSU rRNA". It matches the Rfam family "Eukaryotic small subunit ribosomal RNA", at positions 569 to 1089 of the family's 1831-position model. Lineage: Eukaryota; Fungi; Glomeromycota; Glomeromycetes; Entrophosporales; Entrophosporaceae. The record is from RNAcentral.
AGCAGCCGCGGUAAUUCCAGCUCCAAUAGCGUAUAUUAAAGUUGUUGCAGUUAAAAGCUCGUAGUUGAACUUCAGGCCUGUCCAGAUGGUCCGCCUUAAUUGGUGUGUACUGUCCUUGGGUGGGUCCUACCUUCUGGCGAAGCGGCAUGGCCUUAAUUGGUUGUGUUGGGGAACCAGGACUUUUACUGUGAAAAAAUUAGAGUGUUCAAAGCAGGCAAAUAUGCUCGAAUACAUUAGCAUGGAAUAAUGGAAUAGGACGAUGGUUCUAUUUUGUUGGUUCUAGGACCGUUGUAAUGAUUAAUAGGGAUAGUUGGGGGCAUUAGUAUUCAAUUGUCAGAGGUGAAAUUCUUGGAUUUAUUGAAGACUAACUACUGCGAAAGCAUUUUGCCAAGGAUGUUUUCAUUAAUCAAGAACGAAAGUUAGGGGAUCGAAGACGAUCAGAUACCGUCGUAGUCUUAACCAUAAACUAUGCCGACUAGGAAUCGGGCGAUGUUGAUCAAAAUGACUCGCUCGGCACCUC